GAGCCGUGUGGUGAGCACGGAGCGAACUAUUAUUUCGCCUUUUACUAAAGAAUACCGUGUGCUCGCCACUCAAAUAGGCAUACGCCUAUUUUUCGAGGGCUACUCUCUAUUGAGUUA
RNAcentral lists this small nuclear RNA (117 nucleotides) under Amborella trichopoda. Its description in RNAcentral is "snRNA U5". It matches the Rfam family "U5 spliceosomal RNA". Rfam says of the family: U5 RNA is a component of both types of known spliceosome. The precise function of this molecule is unknown, though it is known that the 5' loop is required for splice site selection and p220 binding, and that both the 3' stem-loop and the Sm site are important for Sm protein binding and cap methylation. Lineage: Eukaryota; Viridiplantae; Streptophyta; Magnoliopsida; Amborellales; Amborellaceae. The record is from Rfam by way of RNAcentral.